Molecule: non-coding RNA, 1105 nt
Organism: Vicugna pacos (alpaca)
Lineage: Eukaryota; Metazoa; Chordata; Mammalia; Artiodactyla; Camelidae
Source: RefSeq, a predicted model, not a curated record
UUUCAUUUCUUCUUGGUGGUUGUGUGCAUGCGGUGGGAUUGUGAGAGUGCGUGUGUGAGCUGUGGCGCAACGUUGACUUCUUCCGAGUGUGGUCUUCUUGGCGAUAGGUUGUGUGUCCAAACUGUGAUGGUGUCUGCGCUGUUUGAUAUGUAGAUUUGGAUUCUUUGAGGCUCUUCUGCGUUUUCAUCGUUGUAUAUAAUUAUGCUCGUUUGCCUUCUCGACAUGGGUCUGGUUGUGUGUGUUGGGUUGCGUGACGUUUGCGAUUGUGUUUAGGUGCUUUCGUUGUCGUGCUAGGCGUGUGUAUUCCUGACUACGGUGGAUUGUGCGUCCAUGAGCGAUUGCGUUUGACCGAUUUCGUUGUGUCCCGCUGGACAAUGUUGGGGCCUGACCCAGUCUGCUUGUGCGGCAGUGUUAGGCUGUGCUUAGUUUGCUUCCCUUCUAUGGGGAUGGACCUCCUGUGGCCCUGUCCGCACCGGGUUGUAUGCUUGUGUGCUAGUGUCCUCUGGAAGUGCAUUUGUAAAUCGCUGGGGGGUGGAAGGGAGGGCGAGCAAACAAGAGAUGGAAGCGCUAGUUGAGGAGGCGGCAUGGGGGCGGGGAGAGGGAUUUCACAUUUUAUUCCAAAUUAUGAUGUAUUCGGAAGCCAGUAUUGGCUUGAAUGGCAGACGGAGCCGGAUCGGCGGCUGCUCUGUCUGGAGGUCAGUCUGUGCCUCGGUGUUGGAGGGGUCUGUUAGUUAGCGGGAGGCUCUUCCAGGCUGGAAGCUGAGCAGCGCUCGCGGAGGCCCGCGCCUUCAAGCCGGUAGCCGCCCGCUUCGGUUCCCGCGGCACUCAGGCUUCGUCCAUUUCUGACCGCCCAGGACCACACCGUGGCCUAACUGCCGGUCUUUCUGCGAGAAAGGGGGAAAGCAAGGACCCCCAUCCACAACCUGGACCUCAGCUCCUGUCCCUCUCCGCCGGAGGAGUGGAGAUCCUAUUUAGAGGGGCCAGUCUCUCUAAAUAUGCCCCAGGAUGACCGAGCGGCCGCCCAGCGAGGCGGCACGCAGUGACCCCUCGCUAGAGGGACGGGACGCGGCCGAGGCCCGCAUGGCCCCCCCCGCACCUGGUCCUG